RNAcentral lists this ribosomal RNA (477 nucleotides) under uncultured bacterium. Its description in RNAcentral is "partial 16S ribosomal RNA". It matches the Rfam family "Bacterial small subunit ribosomal RNA", at positions 356 to 850 of the family's 1533-position model. The record is from RNAcentral.
GGGGAAUAUUGGACAAUGGGGGCAACCCUGAUCCAGCAAUGCCGCGUGUGUGAAGAAGGUCUUCGGAUUGUAAAGCACUUUCGACGGGGACGAUGAUGACGGUACCCGUAGAAGAAGCCCCGGCUAACUUCGUGCCAGCAGCCGCGGUAAUACGAAGGGGGCUAGCGUUGCUCGGAAUGACUGGGCGUAAAGGGCGUGUAGGCGGUUUACACAGUCAGAUGUGAAAUCCCCGGGCUUAACCUGGGAGCUGCAUUUGAUACGUGUAGACUAGAGUGUGAGAGAGGGUUGUGGAAUUCCCAGUGUAGAGGUGAAAUUCGUAGAUAUUGGGAAGAACACCGGUGGCGAAGGCGGCAACCUGGCUCAUGACUGACGCUGAGGCGCGAAAGCGUGGGGAGCAAACAGGAUUAGAUACCCUGGUAGUCCACGCUGUAAACGAUGUGUGCUAGAUGUUGGGUAACUUUGUUAUUCAGUGUCGCA